This 492-nucleotide ribosomal RNA is filed under the name uncultured bacterium. Its description in RNAcentral is "partial 16S ribosomal RNA". It matches the Rfam family "Bacterial small subunit ribosomal RNA", at positions 29 to 507 of the family's 1533-position model. The record is from RNAcentral.
AGUGAACGCUGGCGGUAGGCCUAACACAUGCAAGUCGAACGGCAGCACAGUAAGAGCUUGCUCUUACGGGUGGCGAGUGGCGGACGGGUGAGGAAUACAUCGGAAUCUACUUUUUCGUGGGGGAUAACGUAGGGAAACUUACGCUAAUACCGCAUACGACCUACGGGUGAAAGCAGGGGAUCUUCGGACCUUGCGCGAUUGAAUGAGCCGAUGUCGGAUUAGCUAGUUGGCGGGGUAAAGGCCCACCAAGGCGACGAUCCGUAGCUGGUCUGAGAGGAUGACCAGCCACACUGGAACUGAGACACGGUCCAGACUCCUACGGGAGGCAGCAGUGGGGAAUAUUGGACAAUGGGCGAAAGCCUGAUCCAGCCAUACCGCGUGGGUGAAGAAGGCCUUCGGGUUGUAAAGCCCUUUUGUUGGGAAAGAAAAGCAGCAGGUUAAUACCCCGCUGUUCUGACGGUACCCAAAGAAUAAGCACCGGCUAACUUCGUG